CCGUUAUCUCACAGGUGCGGGUAUCUGGUGGCCCGCAUAAGAUUCUACCAGUUUAAGCGAAAUGAUCUGUCAGAACAGAAACCUCCGCGUUCCGCAGAGUUCAUUUGGAAUUGCAAACCGAAAGCAAAGUGGUAAAGUGAAA
This is a long non-coding RNA of Armigeres subalbatus, 142 nucleotides long. RefSeq lists it as uncharacterized. The record is from RefSeq and is a predicted model, not a curated record. The transcript has 2 exons. Lineage: Eukaryota; Metazoa; Arthropoda; Insecta; Diptera; Culicidae.